RNAcentral lists this ribosomal RNA (674 nucleotides) under uncultured Vibrionaceae bacterium. RNAcentral describes it as "bacterial SSU rRNA". It matches the Rfam family "Bacterial small subunit ribosomal RNA", at positions 1 to 671 of the family's 1533-position model. Lineage: Bacteria; Pseudomonadati; Pseudomonadota; Gammaproteobacteria; Vibrionales; Vibrionaceae. The record is from RNAcentral.
UAGAGUUUGAUCAUGGCUCAGAUUGAACGCUGGCGGCAGGCCUAACACAUGCAAGUCGAGCGGUAACACAAGGGAGCUUGCUCCUGAGGUGACGAGCGGCGGACGGGUGAGUAAUGCCUAGGUAUCUGCCCAGUCGAGGGGGAUAACAGUUGGAAACGACUGCUAAUACCGCAUACGCCCUACGGGGGAAAGGAGGGGACCUUCGGGCCUUUCGCGAUUGGAUGAACCUAGGUGGGAUUAGCUAGUAGGUGGGGUAAUGGCUCACCUAGGCAACGAUCCCUAGCUGGUCUGAGAGGAUGAUCAGCCACACUGGAACUGAGACACGGUCCAGACUCCUACGGGAGGCAGCAGUGGGGAAUAUUGCACAAUGGGCGAAAGCCUGAUGCAGCCAUGCCGCGUGUAUGAAGAAGGCCUUCGGGUUGUAAAGUACUUUCAGCGAGGAGGAAAGCUCAAUUGUUAAUAGCGAUUGGGUGUGACGUUACUCGCAGAAGAAGCACCGGCUAACUUCGUGCCAGCAGCCGCGGUAAUACGAGGGGUGCAAGCGUUAAUCGGAAUUACUGGGCGUAAAGCGUACGCAGGCGGUUUGUUAAGCGAGAUGUGAAAGCCCCGGGCUCAACCUGGGAACUGCAUUUCGAACUGGCAAACUAGAGUCCUGUAGGGGGGGUAGAAUUUCA